RNAcentral lists this ribosomal RNA (458 nucleotides) under uncultured bacterium. Its description in RNAcentral is "SSU rRNA". It matches the Rfam family "Bacterial small subunit ribosomal RNA", at positions 26 to 518 of the family's 1533-position model. The record is from RNAcentral.
AGAAUCAACGCUGGCGGCGUGCCUAACACAUGCAAGUCGAACGAGAAAGGGACUUCGGUCCUGAGUAUAGUGGCGCACGGGUGAGUAACACGUGAAUAAUCUACCUCCGAGUGGGGAAUAACCUGGAGAAAUCUAGGCUAAUACCGCAUAACACUUACGAGUCAAAGCAGCAAUGCGCUUGGAGAGGAGUUCGCGGCAGAUUAGUUAGUUGGCGGGGUAAUGGCCCACCAAGACGAUGAUCUGUAUCCGGCCUGAGAGGGCGCACGGACACACUGGAACUGAAACACGGUCCAGACUCCUACGGAGGCAGCAGUGGGGAAUUUUGCGCAAUGGGGGAAACCCUGACGCAGCAACGCCGCGUGGAGGAUGAAGUAUCUUGGUACGUAAACUCCUUUCGAUGGGGAAGAUAAUGACGGUACCUAUAGAAGAAGCCCGGCUAACUUCGCGCCAGCAGCCGC